Molecule: transfer RNA, 68 nt
Filed under: Bannacoris arboreus
Lineage: Eukaryota; Metazoa; Arthropoda; Insecta; Hemiptera; Urostylididae
Description: tRNA-Trp
Source: RNAcentral
AAAGUUUUAAGUUAACUUAAACUAUUAACCUUCAAAGUUAAAAAUAUAAUAAUCUUUUAUAAACUUUA